Long non-coding RNA from Lucilia sericata (common green bottle fly), 955 nucleotides. RefSeq lists it as uncharacterized. The transcript has 3 exons. NCBI's taxonomy places the organism in Eukaryota, Metazoa, Arthropoda, Insecta, Diptera, Calliphoridae. The record is from RefSeq and is a predicted model, not a curated record.
CUAAAGUGUUCGGUUGUUUUGUGUUCAUAGUAAUGUUUAAAUAAAACUAUAGAGUUAAUUAAUUGUUAAUAUUUAAAUAUUAUUGAUGAAAAUUGUUUAUAAAUACCGUUAUGUUAAAGUGUUUAUAAAAAAGUUUUAAAUUAUUAAUAUAAAAAAGUGUUUUACAAUUUGCCGAAAAUCCAAUGCAAUUUUGUUAAGCCGAACGCCGGUCGUUCAUGUUUAAAUUAAUCAACAGCGUCGAUUAAUUGUUAAUAAUUAAAUAUUUUUGUUGAAAAUUGUUUAUAAAUACCGUUAUUGAAAAAUGUUUUGUAAAAAAGUGUUAAAUUAUUGAUAUAAAAAAAGUGUUUUAAAAUUUGCCAAAUAUGCAAUGCAAUUUCGUUAAGCCGAGCGCUGGUCGGUGAUUUUUUUGUCGGGCCUUUCGUUUUGUGAAGUUAGGAGGAGUAAGCUUGAAACAAUGGUGGUAUGUAGUGGAAAAAUUUGGAAAGAAAAGCUGCGAAAAAUUAUGAAAAAAAGUUAAAAAAAAGAGUUGGUGGUAAAUAUGUAUGUAAAUAUGUUGACACGUGUUGCAAAAUGGAGAUAUUGUUUUUGUAUGCAAGAAAAUACAAGCGGGAGUAUAACGUUAGUUGAACAACAAAAGAAAAAGUUGACAUCAAACACGUUAGCAGGAUAUUGUCUUCAAUGGUAUUUGGUGCAUAAAUAUGAGAAUACAAAAUAAUAUCUUAGAGAUACCAGAAGAUCUACAUACUUACCAAUAUCAAUAAAGAAUAUAACAUCUACAAUUGAAUCAACAACAAGUAAUGAAACAUCUUCUGAGGUUUUAUUUUUAAAAGCUACAUUAUAUGGCACCUGCAAACAGCAUAUGAAAGCAGGAGAAAACUACAACAAAAUAUAAUGCAAAAAAAAACAACAACAAAAUAAAAAUUAUAAUGGAAAAAAAUGGAAACUAAAGCACCAU